This 616-nucleotide long non-coding RNA is filed under the name Elaeis guineensis (African oil palm). Its description in RNAcentral is "long non-coding RNA (EGUI_LNC067784)". Lineage: Eukaryota; Viridiplantae; Streptophyta; Magnoliopsida; Arecales; Arecaceae. The record is from RNAcentral.
AAUCAUAGAGAAAGACUUUUGGAUCAUGGAGAUAUAAAAGACACAAGUUAGGAUGUCUAGAGAGAGAAACGAGAAGAAGAAGAGGGUCUUCUUCUAGGGUUAUUUGUUUUCAUAUCUUUCCUCCCUCCAUCUUGAGUUUUUUGAGAGCGUCUCAGAUUUGAAACUCCUCCUUUUACUUUCCAUCUUUGAAAGGGUCCAAAUCAAGAAGAAGAAGGUACCUGAUCAACCAUCAAAGAAGGAUCAGCGCAGUACUAGCAUAUUGUACUGAUUUUCUGAAGCAGGACUUCUGAUCGAGAUUCGUGGGCUCGUGUGGAUGACUCCUAGAGGUCGGAUGCGUGUGCGGCUUGUAACAUCAUCCUUAAGCCCAGAUCAGCGAGGUUAGAACAUCUAACUUGCAAGGUAAUAGAUCUGAUCUAUUGUUUAAUACAUACAUUAGAUGUAGUAUAGAAACAUGUUGAUAUGAUCAACAUGUAGUUCAUGCUAUAUUUAUAUAUUUUAAUUUUUGAUUUAAUGCUAUGUAAUAAUCAUAUAAUAAGAUCUUAGAUCUAGAGAUUCUCUAAUUUUAGAAAAUAAUUUUAAUUUAUUUUAGUCUUCCGCUGUAUGAUCUUGAAAAAGU